CAGUAAAAUCAGAGAUUAAAUCUCAAAUAAUCAGAAUUAAACCUUCACGGAGGCUUGAAAGUGUAGACCCUCUACUUCGCAUGUACGCCAAACGUCGUAGGAAAGCAGGAUGAACUCCAAUCGAAUCACCUUCGCAAUCCAAUAAAAUGAGGAAGGAUAUGUGCUGGUGUGAUACCUCACACAAGCAGGUGGGAUGCCCAAGGAGGGACCACACCC
RNAcentral lists this long non-coding RNA (216 nucleotides) under Elaeis guineensis (African oil palm). RNAcentral's name for it is "long non-coding RNA (EGUI_LNC064167)". The record is from RNAcentral. Lineage: Eukaryota; Viridiplantae; Streptophyta; Magnoliopsida; Arecales; Arecaceae.